UGGCUCAGUGGUAGAGUACUUGCCUUGCAUGCAUGAGGCCCUGGGUUCGAUUCCCCAG
Molecule: non-coding RNA, 58 nt
Organism: Dipodomys ordii (Ord's kangaroo rat)
Lineage: Eukaryota; Metazoa; Chordata; Mammalia; Rodentia; Heteromyidae
Source: Rfam